Molecule: ribosomal RNA, 564 nt
Filed under: uncultured bacterium
Lineage: Bacteria
Description: bacterial SSU rRNA
Rfam family: Bacterial small subunit ribosomal RNA
Source: RNAcentral
CAGUAAGGAAUAUUGGUCAAUGGACGCAAGUCUGAACCAGCCAUGCCGCGUGGAGGAUUAAGGCCCUCUGGGUUGUAAACUCCUUUUAUCUGGGAAGAAAUGCAUUUUUUCUAAAGUGCUUGACGGUACCAGAGGAAUAAGCACCGGCUAACUCCGUGCCAGCAGCCGCGGUAAUACGGAGGGUGCAAGCGUUAUCCGGAUUCACUGGGUUUAAAGGGUGCGUAGGCGGGCAGGUAAGUCCGUGGUGAAAUCUCUGAGCUUAACUCAGAAACUGCCAUGGAUACUAUUUGUCUUGAAUAUUGUGGAGGUAAGCGGAAUAUGUCAUGUAGCGGUGAAAUGCUUAGAUAUGACAUAGAACACCAAUUGCGAAGGCAGCUUACUACACAGUUAUUGACGCUGAGGCACGAAAGCGUGGGGAUCAAACAGGAUUAGAUACCCUGGUAGUCCACGCCCUAAACGAUGAUUACUCGACAUCAGCGAUACACUGUUGGUGUCUGAGGGAAACCAUUAAGUAAUCCACCUGGGAAGUACGAUCGCAAGAUUGAAACUCAAAGGAAUUGACGG